UAAGAGGUCACGCCUGCCCGGUGACUAUAAGUUUAACGGCCGCGGUAUUUUGACCGUGCAAAGGUAGCGCAAUCACUUGUCUUUUAAAUGGGGACCUGUAUGAAUGGCAUCACGAGGGCUUAACUGUCUCCUCUCUCUAGCCAAUGAAAUUGAUCUCCCCGUGCAGAAGCGGGGAUAACAACAUAAGACGAGAAGACCCUAUGGAGCUUUAGACACUAAGACAGCUUACGUCAAAUAUUUCUAGUAUAACAGAAUUGAACUAAGUAAGCCCUGCCCUAAUGUCUUCGGUUGGGGCGACCCUGGGGAAAUAAACAACCCCCAUGCGGAAUGGAAACAUGUUUUCCAAAGCCGAGAGCUACCACUCUAAGAAGCAGAACUUCUGACCACCUAGAUCCGGCAUGGCCGAUCAACGGACCGAGUUACCCUAGGGAUAACAGCGCAAUCCCCUUAUAGAGUCCCUAUCGACAAGGGGGUUUACGACCUCGAUGUUGGAUCAGGACAUCCUAAUGGUGCAGCCGCUAUUAAGGGUUCGUUUGUUCAACGAUUAAAGUCCUACGUGAUCUGAGU
This 567-nucleotide ribosomal RNA is filed under the name Halichoeres salmofasciatus. Its description in RNAcentral is "partial 16S ribosomal RNA". It matches the Rfam family "Bacterial large subunit ribosomal RNA", at positions 1846 to 2610 of the family's 2925-position model. The record is from RNAcentral. Lineage: Eukaryota; Metazoa; Chordata; Actinopteri; Labriformes; Labridae.